GGGCGGGGAGGGGCGGGGCGGGGCGGGGUGUAGUGUGAGCGGACCGCGGGCGCUGGGCGGGUCCGCGGCGCGGUCGGUCGGCGCCUAUUCUCGGGCUCUUUGGCGGGUGAAUCAGGUCUAGGAAAAUCGACUCUCAUAAACAGCCUAUUCCUAACUGAUCUCUACCCAGAAAGAGUCAUACCUGGAGCAGCAGAAAAAAUUGAAAGAACUGUCCAGAUUGAGGCUUCAACUGUUGAAAUUGAAGAGCGAGGGGUCAAGCUACGCCUGACAGUGGUAGAUACCCCUGGCUAUGGUGACGCUAUCAACUGCAGAGAUUGUUUUAAGACAAUUAUCUCCUAUAUUGAUGAGCAAUUUGAGAGGUACCUGCAUGACGAGAGCGGCUUGAACAGGAGGCACAUCAUUGAUAAUAGGGUGCAUUGUUGCUUUUACUUUAUUUCACCUUUUGGACAUGGACUUAAGCCCUUAGAUGUGGCGUUUAUGAAGGCAAUACA
This 491-nucleotide small RNA is filed under the name Pongo abelii (Sumatran orangutan). RNAcentral's name for it is "processed transcript". The record is from RNAcentral. Lineage: Eukaryota; Metazoa; Chordata; Mammalia; Primates; Hominidae.